Molecule: ribosomal RNA, 200 nt
Filed under: uncultured bacterium
Lineage: Bacteria
Description: partial 16S ribosomal RNA
Rfam family: Bacterial small subunit ribosomal RNA
Source: RNAcentral
AGCGAACGCUGGCGGCAGGCUUAACACAUGCAAGUCGAGCGCCUCGCAAGAGGAGCGGCAGACGGGUGAGUAACACGUGGGAAUCUACCCAUCCCUGCGGAACAACUCCGGGAAACUGGAGCUAAUACCGCAUACGCCCUACGGGGGAAAGAUUUAUCGGGGAUGGAUGAGCCCGCGUUGGAUUAGCUAGUUGGUGGGGU